RNAcentral lists this ribosomal RNA (253 nucleotides) under uncultured bacterium. RNAcentral's name for it is "partial 16S ribosomal RNA". It matches the Rfam family "Bacterial small subunit ribosomal RNA", at positions 524 to 776 of the family's 1533-position model. The record is from RNAcentral.
UACGGGGGGGGCAAGCGUUGUUCGGAAUUACUGGGCGUAAAGGGCUCGUAGGCGGCCAACUAAGUCAGACGUGAAAUCCCUCGGCUUAACCGGGGAACUGCGUCUGAUACUGGAUGGCUUGAGUUUGGGAGAGGGAUGCGGAAUUCCAGGUGUAGCGGUGAAAUGCGUAGAUAUCUGGAGGAACACCGGUGGCGAAGGCGGCAUCCUGGACCAACACUGACGCUCAUGCACGAAAGCGUGGGGAGCAAACAGG